This 253-nucleotide ribosomal RNA is filed under the name uncultured bacterium. RNAcentral describes it as "partial 16S ribosomal RNA". It matches the Rfam family "Bacterial small subunit ribosomal RNA", at positions 524 to 776 of the family's 1533-position model. The record is from RNAcentral.
UACGGAGGGUGCAAACGUUGCUCGGAAUCAUUGGGCGUAAAGCGCACGUAGGCGGUCCGUUAUGUCGAGUGUGAAAGCCCUCGGCUUAACCGAGGAAGUGCAUUCGAAACUGGCGGACUUGAGUACCGGAGAGGGUCGCGGAAUUCCCGGUGUAGAGGUGAAAUUCGUAGAUAUCGGGAGGAACACCAGUGGCGAAGGCGGCGACCUGGACGGAUACUGACGCUGAGGUGCGAAAGCGUGGGGAGCAAACAGG